This 502-nucleotide ribosomal RNA is filed under the name uncultured fungus. RNAcentral describes it as "SSU rRNA". It matches the Rfam family "Eukaryotic small subunit ribosomal RNA", at positions 569 to 1076 of the family's 1831-position model. The record is from RNAcentral. Lineage: Eukaryota; Fungi.
AGCAGCCGCGGUAAUUCCAGCUCCAAUAGCGUAUAUUAAAGUUGUUGCAGUUAAAAAGCUCGUAGUUGAAUUUCGGGAUCAAUAUUUCGGUCAUGCCGUUGGUAUGCACUGUUAUCAUUGAUUUCUCACCUUCUAAAGAACCGUAAUGCCAUUAAUUUGGUGUUACGGGGAAUUAGGACUGUUACCUUGAAAAAUUAGAGUGUUUAAAGCAGGCUCACGCUUGAAUACAUUAGCAUGGAAUAAUGAAAUAGGACAUCCGAUUCUAUUUGUUGGUUUCUAGGAUCGAUGUAAUGAUUAAUAGGGAUAGUUGGGGCAUUAGUAUUCAAUUGUCAGAGGUGAAAUUCUUGGAUUAUUGAAGACUAACUACUGCGAAAGCAUUUGCCAAGGAUGUUUUCAUUAAUCAAGAACGAAAGUUAGGGGAUCGAAGACGAUCAGAUACCGUCGUAGUCUUAACCAUAAACUAUGCCGACUAGGGAUCGGAUGAUGUUAAUUUUUAAUGACU